GUGGAGCUGUGGUUAGUUCCUUUGUGUGGCUUAACUGUUGGCCCAGUUUUCC
Molecule: unclassified non-coding RNA, 52 nt
Organism: Mus spicilegus (steppe mouse)
Lineage: Eukaryota; Metazoa; Chordata; Mammalia; Rodentia; Muridae
Source: Ensembl